This 63-nucleotide transfer RNA is filed under the name Bathynella cf. rufa JHS-2017. RNAcentral describes it as "tRNA-Asn". Lineage: Eukaryota; Metazoa; Arthropoda; Malacostraca; Bathynellacea; Bathynellidae. The record is from RNAcentral.
UUAACAAAAACCAAAAAGAGGUUUGUUUCUGUUAAAAACAAAAUUGUGUCUACACUUGUUAAG